This 465-nucleotide ribosomal RNA is filed under the name Vreelandella stevensii. RNAcentral describes it as "partial 16S ribosomal RNA". It matches the Rfam family "Bacterial small subunit ribosomal RNA", at positions 338 to 795 of the family's 1533-position model. Lineage: Bacteria; Pseudomonadati; Pseudomonadota; Gammaproteobacteria; Oceanospirillales; Halomonadaceae. The record is from RNAcentral.
CAUACGGGUGGCUGCAGUGGGGAAUAUUGGACAAUGGGCGAAAGCCUGAUCCAGCCAUGCCGCGUGUGUGAAGAAGGCCUUCGGGUUGUAAAGCACUUUCAGUGGGGAAGAAAGCCUUGGGGCUAAUACCCUCGAGGAAGGACAUCACCCACAGAAGAAGCACCGGCUAACUCCGUGCCAGCAGCCGCGGUAAUACGGAGGGUGCGAGCGUUAAUCGGAAUUACUGGGCGUAAAGCGCGCGUAGGCGGUCUGAUAAGCCGGUUGUGAAAGCCCCGGGCUCAACCUGGGAACGGCAUCCGGAACUGUCAGGCUAGAGUGCAGGAGAGGAAGGUAGAAUUCCCGGUGUAGCGGUGAAAUGCGUAGAGAUCGGGAGGAAUACCAGUGGCGAAGGCGGCCUUCUGGACUGACACUGACGCUGAGGUGCGAAAGCGUGGGUAGCAAACAGGAUUAGAUACCCGUGUAGUC